Molecule: long non-coding RNA, 220 nt
Filed under: Bos taurus (domestic cattle)
Lineage: Eukaryota; Metazoa; Chordata; Mammalia; Artiodactyla; Bovidae
Description: long non-coding RNA NONBTAT016857
Source: RNAcentral
ACUUAGAGACUAAACAACAACAAAUGUUCAAGGUAUGCUCCCAACCGGCUCAGGCCCAGGAGAGGAGGCUGUGGUCCAUGGCCCUACAGGCCCCCAGCUGUGGGUAUGCGGGCCAGCCUGGCUUAACCAUCACAAGCUUAGUUUUCAGGGGGAUACAUAUUUUCAAAGGGUGGGUAAGGGUGGGUGUUUAGUUUCUGCUUUUUCCUGUUUUCUCUAGGAG